This is a long non-coding RNA of Pomacea canaliculata, 579 nucleotides long. RefSeq lists it as uncharacterized. NCBI's taxonomy places the organism in Eukaryota, Metazoa, Mollusca, Gastropoda, Architaenioglossa, Ampullariidae. The transcript is spliced from 3 exons. The record is from RefSeq and is a predicted model, not a curated record.
CUUCUAGAACUCUUUUUUCUUUCAAUUUUGAAUAUUUUUUUUCAGCCGUUAAAGGAUUCAUGACUUAUUGUCUGACAGUAUAUGGAACCAGAAAUUCAACAAGAAAUAUUCUGAACCUUACAUAAAAUAGUUUGAAAUGUAGACAGACGUAUAAUGAUUGUUGAUGUUGAUUUUGGAAGGGACGUGCUUCAACCUCGAGGUGAUUUCGAACACACAGAGGAGAAACAGCCGUUCAUAAUUUUUUUCAACACGAGAUUUCUGCGAAGGGCCGUUCAUGAAGCACAACCAACUGAGAAAGCAGUGAACGAGGCCGGUCAUUUUAACCCAGACCAGAUCACGCCAGCCAUAUUGACCUCCCGUCUGAGUCGAAUCGACCUCGCCAUGAACAUCCUCCCUUGACCACAGUGCUGUAACAUCUAAAGUCAAAUCAACCCAGGAUCAGGCUAAAUGAAUGCAGUGACACCUGGAUUUGCAAACAGAAGAGAAAAUUUGCAGGAUACAACGCCCAGUCGAGUUCAUCCUCAGAAUAAGAGACAAGGUAGAGAAUACUGAGCAAUAUUUUAAAACCCAGAGAUUCAA